RNAcentral lists this ribosomal RNA (431 nucleotides) under uncultured bacterium. RNAcentral describes it as "partial 16S ribosomal RNA". It matches the Rfam family "Bacterial small subunit ribosomal RNA", at positions 29 to 507 of the family's 1533-position model. The record is from RNAcentral.
AACGAACGCUGGCGGCAGGCCUAACACAUGCAAGUCGAGCGCCCCGCAAGGGGAGCGGCGGACGGGUGAGUAACGCGUGGGAAUAUGCCCUUUGCUACGGAAUAGUCUCGGGAAACUGGGGGUAAUACCGUAUGCGCCCUUUGGGGGAAAGAUUUAUCGGCGAAGGAUUAGCCCGCGUUGGAUUAGGUAGUUGGUGGGGUAAUGGCCUACCAAGCCGACGAUCCAUAGCUGGUUUGAGAGGAUGAUCAGCCACACUGGGACUGAGACACGGCCCAGACUCCUACGGGAGGCAGCAGUGGGGAAUCUUAGACAAUGGGGGCAACCCUGAUCUAGCCAUGCCGCGUGAGUGAUGAAGGCCUUAGGGUUGUAAAGCUCUUUCAGCUGGGAAGAUAAUGACGGUACCAGCAGAAGAAGCCCCGGCUAACUCCGUG